RNAcentral lists this ribosomal RNA (450 nucleotides) under uncultured bacterium. RNAcentral describes it as "partial 16S ribosomal RNA". It matches the Rfam family "Bacterial small subunit ribosomal RNA", at positions 355 to 797 of the family's 1533-position model. The record is from RNAcentral.
UAGGGAAUCUUCCACAAUGGACGAAAGUCUGAUGGAGCAACGCCGCGUGAGUGAUGAAGGGUUUCGGCUCGUAAAACUCUGUUGUUGGAGAAGAACAGGUGUGAGAGUAACUGUUCACAUCUUGACGGUAUCCAACCAGAAAGCCACGGCUAACUACGUGCCAGCAGCCGCGGUAAUACGUAGGUGGCAAGCGUUGUCCGGAUUUAUUGGGCGUAAAGCGAGCGCAGGCGGUUUCUUAGGUCUGAUGUGAAAGCCUUCGGCUUAACCGGAGAAGUGCAUCGGAAACCAGGAGACUUGAGUGCAGAAGAGGACAGUGGGACUCCAUGUGUAGCGGUGAAAUGCGUAGAUAUAUGGAAGAACACCAGUGGCGAAGGCGGCUGUCUGGUCUGUAACUGACGCUGAGGCUCGAAAGCAUGGGUAGCGAACAGGAUUAGAUACCCUGGUAGUCCA